This 61-nucleotide transfer RNA is filed under the name Stygobromus indentatus. RNAcentral describes it as "tRNA-Asn". Lineage: Eukaryota; Metazoa; Arthropoda; Malacostraca; Amphipoda; Crangonyctidae. The record is from RNAcentral.
UUGGUUAAAGCCAAAAAGAGGCUGGUCUCUGUUAAAGACCUAAUUGAUUUAUCUGACCAUU